RNAcentral lists this long non-coding RNA (3123 nucleotides) under Homo sapiens (human). Its description in RNAcentral is "HSALNT0322843". Lineage: Eukaryota; Metazoa; Chordata; Mammalia; Primates; Hominidae. The record is from RNAcentral.
CUGGGCCCGGCAGGCGGGCGGCCGGCGGCGCGCGGGCACGCGGCAGGGGACAGAGGAUGGAUGGGUGAACCCGGAUCCCGGGAUUCUCCCGCGCCCGCUGCCCCUCUGCGGAGCCUCCCCGGAGUCCCACGCCCCCACCCCGGCCACGGAGAUCACCACGUCAGGAGAUAUGUAUGCGUGUGCAUGUGUGUGCGCGCGUGUUCACGCGCGUGUGCGAGAGAUGGAGUCUUGCUCUGUCACCCAGGCUGGAGUGCAAUGGUGUGAUCUCAGCUCACUGCAACCUCUGCCUCCCGGAUUCUAGCAAUUCUCCUGCUUCAGCCUCCCAGGUAGCUGGGAUUAUAGGCACAUGCUGCCACGCCCGGCUAAUUUUUUUUAUUUUUAGUAGAGACAAGGUUUCACCGUGUUGCCCAGGCUGGUCUCGAGCUCCUGAGCUCAGGCAGUCCACCUGGCUCAGCCUCCCAAAGUGCUAGGAUUACAGGCGUGAGCCACUGCGCCUGGCCUGGCAUUCUUUUUUAAGGUAUAUGUGUGUAUUAGAAAAGCUCUUGUAUAUGUGAACAAGUAGUUAUAUCUCUGGAAGACUGUAAUUGUAAAAAAUUGGGAAAAACCCAAAUUCCCACUAACAAAGGAAUAGAUAAAUAACUUGUGGUACUUAAAAAAAAAAACAGUUAAAAGUAAACUAAUUAGGGCUAUGUGAGUCAAUAUGAAUAUACCUCAAAAAAUAUAAUUUGAAGAAAGCAAAUUGAGUGUAUACAGCAUUAUGCCAUUUACAUAAAGUUUGAAAACACACAAAACAAUAUUUUGUAUCAUUGAAGGACAUAUGUUGUAUAGUAUAGCAGACUGGAUUCCCAAAAAAGUAAGUUCUAAGAUAGAGAUUAUCAAGGAAGAGGUUCUUUAGUGAGUGAUUUUGGGAACAACAUCUUGUGGAAAGGAGGUGAAGGAGGACUGCACAGAAGGGAGCUUGGGCUGUGAUGCAGACCUAACAAAGACCUCAGUCAACCCCUCUACGGGCCUCUGAAACUGGGAUUACCCUUCAGAAUUGUCUUGAGUUGAGGUGAGGGCCCUUGCCUUUACAGCCCUGCAAUGGUCACUGGAUGAUAGGAAAAUGCAUGACCUGGAGGAGGCAGCUCUCCUCUGUCUCUGUGUAAUCAUUAGGAACAUUCAACACCAAUAUUCCAUUACUCUCCUAGAAAUGUGGUAGCAUUAUACUUUCCCAUGUCCUUUAAGUUAGAGUUGGCCAAUGGAAUGGGAGCAGAAGUUGCAUGGGUCAUCUCUAGGUAGAAGCUUUUAAUAGUCCGAAUGUAAUUCUACAAAUUUCCUUCCCACUACCGUGGGAUCUGUGACAUUCUAGGUGGUAGAAGCUCUUCCGGCUGUGUUUCUCAAUGAAGAUAAUGUGGAUCAGUGCAUUCAGCCAUCCUGUAAGCAACAUGAGGCAUGAGCAAAAAGGAAACAUUUUCUUUUGUAAAUACCUGAUAUACUGGGGUUAUUUGCCACUGCAGCAUAACCUACAUGUUUGGACUGAUACCACCUUUUGAUUGCAAAUGUCACUUUUACCAUGUCUGAUUUCUCUUCUUCUUGCCAUAUGUAUUUACUUAACACUCUUUUUUAUCCUGUUCGAAAAUCAGGAUUUCACAAAAUGUGUUCUGUAGAAAACUAGUCAUGUGAGCUGCUCUCCAAAAUCUUGGUUUUUAUGGUCAACUAAGUAGGAAACCGCGUAUUUUAUCACUCUCUCAGGGAUUUAUAAUUGCUCAUUGGCAUAUUAAAUUUCCUAAGCACUCUUUCCAUUAAAAAACCUGUAUUAAUUAAUUUUAAUCUUCCAUUUCACAAACUCAUUUGACUAUAGAAUCCUAAAAAUAACAUCUAUUAACAUCUGACAGAGAAACACAUUUUUGGAAAGUAUGCCCUAAGCAUUCUUCCACUUUCCAUUGCAAAUUAAACACAUCCAGCGGGUCUACUUGGAAGUGAAGAGAAUGGAACUAGGACUUACUUACAAUGGGUCCAAGAGCUAACAGCCUUUCUACAGGCAUAAAAUUUCAAUAGAAUUGACGUGUAAAGAAACUAUUCAACUGGCUUCAAAAUCAAUCAACACACAUGUAGAAUAUAGAGAAUGUGAAACACAAAUACGUAUGUAUUGGCUAAAGGGUCCUUAAUUACCUAAGGCUGGCAAUAUGUUUUCAAAGAUAACAUGCAAACACAUAAAAAGCAAAACAACAAACGUUAGAAAAUAACCACUGCCAAAUGAGUGGGUAUAGACAGAACAUUGAGGUUGUCUAAGAUCACACAGUGAGUAAAGGCCAGAGUUAGUAACUACGUUCCAUAUAUUGGAUCUCAGAAUCAAAGAUUCACUGAGUCACACAUCAUUCUUUGAUAUUAUUCUGAAUCUCUUGAAGUGUGAUGUAUAAGAACUUAAAUCUUAAGCACAAACAAUUAGGAUAAUUAGCAUCUCUGUAUAUUUCCAUAAUGGCAUCAGACAACAAAAGGAAACUUGCCAAUUUCCCAAUCAGGCAAAGUCCAAAAAACGCUUUCCUGCCUGCCUGCCUUAUUAUUGCAGCAAAUUAUAGCACCACUUGCUGGCUGAGAAAAUGGCUCACUCAGAAUGAGGAGGCAGGGCAGACGGCUGCCUGUGCCUUUAGAAAAUGUUUGUUGUUUGUUUUGUUUUUUUAAGAAUUUAGACAAGAGUUAAAGAAUUACUUCUUUCUAUUGAGAGCUCUAUAUUUUAAUAAAUUGGAGUGGUGGACAAGCUGGAAUAGAUGGAGCAGAAUGUUGCAUAAUCUCUAAUCUCUCCCCUGCUUCUUUUUAUAUGUUUUGAAUGAAGAAAGAACUAUUUUAGUUGACAGGAAGAAAAGACAAAAACUUUAAAAAGAACACAAAACUACCAAGGUUUUGUCUUUGCCUGUGUGCAUAAAAGCUUGAGAUUGGAAUAAAAUUCUUAGUGUAAUGUAUUAGAGACUCAGAAUCUAGAUAUUUUGGGAGUAGAUGGCUCAGCAAAAACACAGAUUACUUUUAGACUCAAUCUAUUAUUUAUUAUUUCAAUUUAUAAAAAAUGCACCCAAUGCAUCUUUGGGAUGAAGAGUUCAAAGUCAUUGUGAUUGUGUAGUUGGCUUAUCUCUCACUUAUAGAAAUCUG